UAGGGAAUCUUCCGCAAUGGACGAAAGUCUGACGGAGCAACGCCGCGUGAGUGAUGAAGGUUUUCGGAUCGUAAAACUCUGUUGUCAGGGAAGAACAAGUACGGGAGUAACUGUCCGUACCUUGACGGUACCUGACCAGAAAGCCACGGCUAACUACGUGCCAGCAGCCGCGGUAAUACGUAGGUGGCAAGCGUUGUCCGGAAUUAUUGGGCGUAAAGCGCGCGCAGGCGGUCUUUUAAGUCUGAUGUGAAAGCCCACGGCUCAACCGUGGAAGGUCAUUGGAAACUGGAAGACUUGAGUGCAGAAGAGAAGAGCGGAAUUCCACGUGUAGCGGUGAAAUGCGUAGAGAUGUGGAGGAACACCAGUGGCGAAGGCGGCUCUUUGGUCUGUAACUGACGCUGAGGCGCGAAAGCGUGGGGAGCAAACAG
This 428-nucleotide ribosomal RNA is filed under the name uncultured bacterium. RNAcentral's name for it is "bacterial SSU rRNA". It matches the Rfam family "Bacterial small subunit ribosomal RNA", at positions 355 to 775 of the family's 1533-position model. The record is from RNAcentral.